CCUACGGGCGGCUGCAGUGAGGAAUAUUGGACAAUGGAGGAAACUCUGAUCCAGCCAUCCCGCGUGAAGGAAUAAGGUCCUAUGGAUUGUAAACUUCUUUUAUACAGGAAUAAACCUAUCCACGUGUGGGUAGCUGAAGGUACUGUAAGAAUAAGCACCGGCUAACUCCGUGCCAGCAGCCGCGGUAAUACGGAGGGUGCAAGCGUUAUCCGGAUUUAUUGGGUUUAAAGGGUCCGUAGGCGGACACAUAAGUCAGUGGUGAAAUCUCAUAGCUU
RNAcentral lists this ribosomal RNA (275 nucleotides) under uncultured bacterium. RNAcentral describes it as "partial 16S ribosomal RNA". It matches the Rfam family "Bacterial small subunit ribosomal RNA", at positions 338 to 610 of the family's 1533-position model. The record is from RNAcentral.